This 5397-nucleotide long non-coding RNA is filed under the name Sus scrofa (pig). RNAcentral describes it as "lncRNA (ENSSSCG00030034553.1)". The record is from RNAcentral. Lineage: Eukaryota; Metazoa; Chordata; Mammalia; Artiodactyla; Suidae.
UUAAGAAGUACAGACAUUUAUGUAUUUUUUAAUUCAAUAUGGGCAAAUACCUAGCAAGUCAUAGGCUUAUAAUAAAUAUGUGAAAAUGUUUGUUGGACAAAAAAGAAAUGAAUGCAUAUUAAGCUCACACUGUCAAUAAAUAAGAGAGAUACAAAAAAAGAUUAGUUCUGUUUGAGAGAGGUCCAUUUACUACACAGAAGCUAUAUUUUAGUUUUGUAAAGAAGAUGAGAGGAUUAAGACUGACUCAGUAUAAAUGGAAUAAUUUUGGUAAAUGAGCAAAUGUUAAGCUCACAAUUGCUUGAUAUUCUGUUCUGGCCAUGCAAAUACAGUAGCACCUACCCCAUUCAGUCUGGGAUAUGAAAUAUAAAUCAGCUCAUGAAAAUGAGAAAUUCUUAGAUUAGAUUUUUAAAGAAAGAAAGAGUUAUGGUCUUUGCAAGGGCCAAAUUAAGAAAAUAAAAGGAUAAAAUGUUGAAAUUUUCAUGUUAGCAAACUAAAAUAAAGUGACAUUGGUAUAAUACGAAAUCUAAGUUGAAGAGAUAUAAUAAAGUAAAAGAGUCACAACAGAAAAUGUUCACACAAUUGACCAAAAAAUGAUAAAUCAGUCAUGAACUUAUAAGCAUUUCAGCUAACCAAAUAAAAUCAACCUAUACAAAACAAAAAUGCUGAUUUUAUUAGACUAUAUUACUAGGACCACAGCUAAUUUGGAAAAGUUCAUUGAAUCUCUUUGACAAUAUUUUGGAUCAAAAAGAAAAAGAAAAAAAAAAGGAAAACAGAAAGAAAAAAAAUUCCAUUUCCAAUUAGUAUUUGAGAUAGGUUAGGUGGGUGGAUCUUCCACUGAAAACAACCAAAAAAUUCUAAAUAAGACAGUCAAAAGUAGAAUUUAAAAACUUUGUUAACUAGGAAAGUGUAAGGUCUUAUUCUUAAUCAUACCACCUAUUGAACAUGCACAUGGGUAUUGUAUCAAGUACAUAAUAAUAAGUACAUUGAUUGUUCAUAAUUUUAUCAUAUCUUGUACACUACUCAUUAUUAGUCAAUACUUGCUAAAUGGUCCAUAGGUGUCACUAUUAUCCAGUUAGAAUGUAGAGCUUCAUGAAAAUUAACGUUAGAAAAGAAUUACCUGUUAAGCAUCUCAUCAGUUCUUUUUGCUAUUUCUAAUAUUGUUUCUCUUAAGGACCCAUAUUUGCAGUGUUGAGAUCAAUUUUAUUGUUUUGAUAACAUGUAUAACUGGUAAUCCAUGUAGAUUAAAAGAAGGAAGGAGACUAUUGAUCAAUAUCUCUUUCAGUGGUCAGUUUCUAAAUGAUGUUUAAGUUUAAAAGCAUCAGUGUGGCAAAGGAAACUUACAAGAUUGUAACCAUUUAUUAUUUUUCUGAUUAACUUUUCUGGAAUACUCGUGAUAAGGAUCCUGGUCUCUGGUAUGUUAAGAGACAAAAUUUUUGAAAAGAUCAAUUUAUACCCCAUCUCUGAAUCCACUGUUAUUAUAUCAGAGGAUAUUCACACAUACUUAAAACUUACCAAGAACUCUUUUAAGAAACAUACAGAUAGGAAACCAUUUGAUACUCUAAUACUUUCCAAAAAUAGUAUCCUCAAUUGGCAAAUGAGAAACUAAGGUACAGAUAGACAAGGUAACUACUCCUGAGUUACACCACUAGUAAAUGCUGGAAUGUGAAUCCAUAUGCUCUGUCUCUACAUCCUGUGCAUUUCCAGUCUAUGCUGGUUUAUCAUUUCAUUUUUAAAAGAGAAUAGUGAUAAUGAUCACAUGAUAGAAAAGUUACCUAUUUGAGCCAGGAGAUUUCCCAAGCCAGUGUACUUUUUGUUACAAGUACCAGAAAUUCACAUUUACUACGUAAAACAAGGAGAUAAAUGUGCCACUGGAUCUAACAAAGUUUAUCAGGCCUGCUGCACGAUUUUCAGUCAAGUCCCAUGAGACACUGAUUCCCAUCCUUUCCCAUUUUCUCUAGGAUAACCUGGUUUCUCAUACCUGCUUCUCUUGGUUUCUGCUUCAUUUAACUCUUUUUGUAAAAAAACUCCCCCAGAGUGACUUUAUUUGUGAUUUCCCAACUAGUUUUACUUACAAGUCUUUUUGGUGUAAUUAGCUGGUUUCAGAUUUGUGUCAGGCAUUCUCUAACACAGGUGCUUUUAUUGUAAUAUACCAAAGAGAGAUCAAGACUCUUCAAAGCAUGCUGUGGUUAAGUUGGCACUCUGACCAUCACGUCCAUCCAUACCUGGGCAUGCUCCUUUGUGUUGUUCUUGGUUAGAAAUUUCCAGUAAUGGGGAUUUGUUUGAUAUUCAUUAUACAGAAGUGAAACCACAUAAUCAUUGGGAGGUCAUAAGUGUGAUACCAAGAAAUGUCAUCAGUUUGUCGACCUUGAUAUUUACAUGUGGCAAAGGCAGCAGCUUCUGAACCCAUCCCUGAGCAUCCAGUCUGCUUUUAUGGAGAACUGAUUUCCCUGCAAAUUCUCCUUUUCCUUCCAAACUGCACUGCUGUUCUUCAGAUCAAAGUCUAUAUGAGUGUAUAUCUCACCUUGGAUGUCAAAUACCCAGUUCUUCAGAGGCAUCAUUCUUGAACUUCUUUCUUGAGAUCGUCUAAGAGUCAUAAAAAUAAUAAUUUCUUUUAAACUUUUUUUAAUAAGAAAGGAUAGAUAAACUUGUUUCCUGAAUAAUCCCUUACUGGGUACCCUUGUAAUAUAUCAACACUUUUUUGGUUUUUAUAUGCAAUGUUUAUCCAAAGUCAUGGGUCAAUAAUUUAAUUUAAAAGAUGCUGGCUAUUAUUAGGAGAGUGUCAACAAGUCUAAGCUGUGGGUUUUUUCCUACUUUAUCUACAUUACAAAUUUAAUGGCUGAAAAUACCUACAUUACCAUAUAUAGAUAUAAAAGCAUCUCUGCAUGAAUGAGUUUUUGGAUAGCUCAACUAUGGAAAAUAGGGAAUACCAAUUCCUAUGAGAGCAAUAAUGACAGUAUACCUAGAAAUUAAUGCACAAUGAAUACACUCACAUUAUUAAUACGGGAUAUAAAUUUUUUCCUACUAAAUUUAAAAUCUCCCCUCAUAGUUUGAAAAAUAAUGAAAUCAUGAUAAUUUGGAAUGCCACCUGUUAAGAUAAAUUUCAUUCAUUUAGACAGUCAGACUGCAGACCAAGUAAGAUGAUAUUAAAGGACCAAUGUAGUCAUCUAGGCUUAUCUUUUCCAUCCUACAUUUUUUUCCAUAAUAAAACAUUCAACUUUUGUGAAUUUGCUUUCUAUAUAAAGGAAAAAGAUAACUCAAGGCAGAAAGUCAAGUGUACCUCAUAGGAAUUAUAAUGAUGAGACCAAAAAAGAAGGAUGGGGAGACAGACAAAAUCCGGAACUCAGUAUAUUGGCUGUCAAUAAUUGCUUCCUUUUUGCAUCAAUCUUCUAAAGAAUCACAUACAGAGAAAAUAAAUAUGAGGAUAAAUUAAGUUAAGUUACUCAAAUGAAACUGUAUCAAAAAAUUGAUGCCCCAAUUAAAGUGAUGUUCUUAGUAUAACUACUAUUUACAAUAUUUAAUGAGACAAUUUUUCUAUAGCAAAAUAAUUAUAGUGGUAAUAUUCACUUUUAAAAUGAAUGUUUCAUUUUGAUACUUUACAGAAUUUCUAAGUAAAAAUCUGAUAAUAUUGUUAGGAUAUCAUGAAGUGCUGGUUUAACUCUAGAAGUGGUAGAAAGCAUAAGUUACUGAAUGGUAGUCUAAGAUUUGUCAUAAAUGUUUGAAGAAAAUGUUUCCAGGCUGUAUCAGUUAGGUUUUUCCAGAGAUAGAGAGAGAGGGAGAUUAAUUAUCAGCAGAUGGCUUACACAAUAGUUAGAACCACAACUCUGAAACUUGUAGGGCAGACCAGCAGGUAGGAAACAAAAAGGAUUUCUUGCUACAGACUUGAGGCAGAAUCCCUUUUUCUCCAAGAAACAUCAAUUUUUUUUUUUUAAUAUCGGGGGCUUUUGACUGAUUGAGGCCCACUCAUGUUAUAAAAGGUAAUCCUCUUUUCUCAAAGUCAACUGGAUUGUAAAUAUAAAUCACAUCUACAAAAUACCUUCACAGCAAAAUCUAGAUAAUGGUGACGAAAUGAUGGUUGUCACAUUAAACAUCAGGUAACCCUAACAAAAACUUGUCAUAGAGAGACAAGUAAAGAUAGUUCCAGGGGAGAAAUAAAAGAUGAUUAUAAAAUUAAUGUGGCUCAGAAAACAUUACUUAGAAAAAAUUUAAAAUAUUAGAAGAAAAUCUGCUAUUUGGUGGUCAACAUUUCAUAUCUUAAAAUAAAAGGAAAUUGUUUAAAAAAAGAGAGAAAGAGGAGUUCCCGUCAUGGCUCAGUGGUUAACUAAUCUGGCUAGGAACUAUGAGGUUGCGGGUUGAUCCCCUAGCCUCGCUCAAUGGAUUAAGGAUCUGGCAUUGCUGUGAGCUGAGCUGUAGGUCACAGACGCAGCUCAGAUCUCACUUGGCUGUGGCUGUGGCAUAGACUGGCGGCUAUAGCUCAGAUUCGACCCCUAGCCUGGGAACCUCCAUAUACCGCAGGAGCAGCCCUAAAAAAGGCAAAGAAAAAAAAAAGAGAGAGAGAGAAAGAAAGGAACAAAAGAGAAAUAAAGAAUUAACUGGAAAACAAGGCUUACAAUGGCAAUAAAUACAUAUUUAUCAAUAAUUACUGUAAAGGUUAAUGGACUGAAUGCUCAAAUCAAAAGUCAUAGAGUAGCAGACUCAAUUAAAAAAAAUAAGAGCCUACAAUAUGCUGUUUACCUUAGGGCAAAGGACACAUAUAAAUUGAAAGUGAGGGGAUGGAAAAAUGACAGGACAAUCAGGAGUUGCAAUACUCAUAUAUAACAAAAUAAACUUUAAAAUGAAGGACAUAAAGAAGGACAGUAGUGAUAAAAGGAUCCAUUCAAGAAGUGAAUAUUACACUUGUCAAUAUAUAUGCCCCUAAUAUAUGUGUACCAAAAUACAUAAAGCAAAUACCAACAGACAUUAAAGGAUAAAUUGAUGGGAAUACAAAAAUAGUAGGAGAUUUUAACACCCCACUCACAUCAAUGGACAGAUCCUCUAGACAGAAAAUCAAUAAGGCAACAGAGAUCCUAAAUGACCUAAUAGAAUAGUUAGACUUACUUAAUGUUAUCAGGACAUUGUAUCAAAAAAAAAAAAAAGAAUAUACAUUCUUUACAAGUGAACUUGAAACAUUCUCUAGGAUUGACCACAUACUGGGACACAAACCAAACUCAACCAAUUUAAGAGUCAAGAAAUUAAUUCAAGCAUCUUCUCUUACCACAAUGGCAUGAAACUACAAAUCAAUCACAGGAAAAGAAAUGAGUAAAAAGUGAUUCCAUGGAAUCAAAACAACAUACUACUAAAAAAAAAAAAAACACUGAGUCAACAAGGUAAUCAGAAGGAAAUUAAAAAAUUCCUUGAGAC